This 856-nucleotide ribosomal RNA is filed under the name Pertusaria hymenea. RNAcentral's name for it is "SSU rRNA". It matches the Rfam family "Bacterial small subunit ribosomal RNA", at positions 417 to 1293 of the family's 1533-position model. The record is from RNAcentral. Lineage: Eukaryota; Fungi; Ascomycota; Lecanoromycetes; Pertusariales; Pertusariaceae.
GGAGGAAUGUAUAUCGACUCUGUCGAAUAAAGUUCUAGUUAAGUUAUGAUAAUGACAUUUCUUAACUAUGUGUCUUGACCAAAUCACGUGCCAGCAGUCGCGGUAAUACGUGGAAGACUAGUGUUAUUCAUCUUUAACAGGUUUAAAGGGUACCUAGACGGUAAAUCAAGCCCCAAAAGGGGACUAAUUUACUAGAGUUUAAUAAGAGAGGGGGAGUACUGAUGAGUGGAGCGAUUAAAUUUUAUGAUACCAUUAGGAACAGACAAAGGCGAAAGCGACCUUUUACAUAAAACUGACGUUGAGGGACGAAGGCUUUAGUAGUGAACAGGAUUAGAUACCCAGGUAAUUAAAGCAGACAAUGAUGAAUGUCAUAGAUUAGUACUUUUUUUUUUGCUUGUAUUGAUAAAGCUUGUAUUGAUAAAAAUCAUAAAAAUCAAAAAAGUGUACUAUUAAUCUAUAAAUGAAAGUGUAAGCAUUCCACCUCAAGAGUAAUGUGGCAACGCAGAAACUGAAAUCAUUAGACCGUUUCUGAAACCAGUAGUGAAGUAUGUUGUUUAAUUAGAUAAUCCGCAAAAGACCUCACCACAAUUUGUAUAUUAUUAUUUUAUAAUAAUACAAGCGUUGCACGGCUGUCUUCAGUUAAUGUCGUGAGAUUAGGUUAGUUCCAUUAAAUUAACGUAAACCCUUGCUUUAUUUAUAUUAUAAAGUAGAUCCCCGCUAUAUUGGAUGUGAUAAUAGGGACUAAGACAAGUCAUCAUGGCCUGAAUAUUGUGGGCGAUAGACGUGCCACAUAAUCGGAGACAAAGGGAUGCAAAAUUGUGAAAUAAAGCUAAUCCCCUARAAUCCGUAUACAGAU